CCCAUUCCUUCUUUCUGAGCCUGUGUGCCAUGGUGAAACUUGUGAGGAACCGUCUGGGAGAGACUGUGCUCAUCUCCCAAGGGCAAGGUGUUCAGGCGUGUGCAUCAACCACAGCCGAUGGCAGCCACAACAAAACCCGGGCUGCUAGCGUGGACGCCCCCGGGAGAGUGAAUGUCAGGCGCCAAGGGAGAAUUUCUUUGGGGGACAACGUACUCACCCGGCAUCGUAUCCUACCCUGCGUCUGUGCCAGGCCAGCUCAUCCAGGAGACAGGAAACAGAGAACUGAUCCCAGGGCACUAGUGUGAAUGAAGCUAGUGAGGAUGAACUCUGAGGACAGCUGCACCUUGAAGACUUUCAGAACAGACAGCAGAGAAAAAUGUGUCAAUACACCAAUUGUGGUGAGGAGCACACUUCUGUGCCAACCUUUAGAAGAACACAAUAAACACACAAGUCUGCAGGGUCUGCAGUGUGACCUCGCCAGUCCCCACACAGCAGCCUCACUGGGACGCCUUCCUUUCUUGUUCUCUGACCCUCCCCCCACACCAGGCGUGGUGCGAGGAGGCUGGACCAGGAGUCAGGAGACUUGGGACUGACUCAUUUCACAACUUUCGGAGACUUUUCCUUUUUCUUCACCUUUGACCUUAGCAGAAUAACGUCGACCUUGCACGAAGCCAAAGAUUAAAUGAGAUAGCUUGUACAAA
Long non-coding RNA from Carlito syrichta (Philippine tarsier), 701 nucleotides. RefSeq lists it as uncharacterized. The record is from RefSeq and is a predicted model, not a curated record. The transcript is spliced from 2 exons. Lineage: Eukaryota; Metazoa; Chordata; Mammalia; Primates; Tarsiidae.